UACGUAGGCAGCGAGCGUUGUUCGGAUUUACUGGGCGUAAAGGGUGUGUAGGCGGUUCUUUAAGUUUGGUGUGAAAUCUCCCGGCUCAACCGGGAGGGUGCGCCGAAUACUGAGGGACUAGAGUACGGGAGAGGAAAGUGGAAUUCCUGGUGUAGCGGUGAAAUGCGUAGAUAUCAGGAGGAACACCGGUGGUGUAGACGGCUUUCUGGACCGUAACUGACGCUGAAACACGAAAGCGUGGGUAGCAAACAGG
This 253-nucleotide ribosomal RNA is filed under the name uncultured bacterium. RNAcentral's name for it is "partial 16S ribosomal RNA". It matches the Rfam family "Bacterial small subunit ribosomal RNA", at positions 524 to 776 of the family's 1533-position model. The record is from RNAcentral.